Molecule: ribosomal RNA, 418 nt
Filed under: uncultured bacterium
Lineage: Bacteria
Description: bacterial SSU rRNA
Rfam family: Bacterial small subunit ribosomal RNA
Source: RNAcentral
CUGCAGUCGAACGAUGACCCGGGAGCUUGCUCCUGGUGGAUAGUGGCGACGGGUGACUAAACGUGAGUACCUGCCCUUCACUCUGGAAUAACCGCGGGAAACCGCUUCUAAUACCGGAUACGACCCUCGGAGGCAUCUUCUGGGGGUGGAAACAUUUAUCGGUGGAGGAUGGACUCCCGGCCUAUCAGCCAAAUGGGGAGGGACAGNGUGAUAGCCCCACGGCCACUUACGACCUGAAAGGGUCCCCGGCCCCACUGGGACGGAGACACUUCCCAUAUUCCUACNGGAGGCAAAAUUAGGCAAUAUUGUGCAAUGGGCGCAAGCCUGAUGCUCCAACGCCUCUUGAGGUACGACGGCCUUCGGGUUGUAACCCUCUUUUAAUAAGGAANAAGCUAAUCUGACGGNACCUGCAUAAAAA